This 773-nucleotide ribosomal RNA is filed under the name Clostridioides difficile. Its description in RNAcentral is "partial 23S ribosomal RNA". It matches the Rfam family "Bacterial large subunit ribosomal RNA", at positions 2153 to 2925 of the family's 2925-position model. Lineage: Bacteria; Bacillati; Bacillota; Clostridia; Peptostreptococcales; Peptostreptococcaceae. The record is from RNAcentral.
GGCUUUGAAACCAGGACGCCAGUUUUGGCGGAGCCAUCCUAGGGAUAGCACCCUUGUAGUACUGGGACUCUAACCAUAGGCCAUGAAUCUGGUCUUGGGACACUGUCAGGUGGGCAGUUUGACUGGGGCGGUCGCCUCCCAAAAGGUAACGGAGGCGCUCAAAGGUUCUCUCAGUACGGUCGGAAAUCGUACGUAGAGCGUAAAGGCAAAAGAGAGCUUGAUUGCAAGACAUACAGGUCGAGCAAGGAUGAAAAUCGGACUUAGUGAUCCGGUGGUUCUGCGUGGAAGGGCCAUCGCUCAACGGAUAAAAGCUACCCUGGGGAUAACAGGCUUAUCUCCCCCAAGAGUCCACAUCGACGGGGAGGUUUGGCACCUCGAUGUCGGCUCAUCACAUCCUGGGGCUGUAGUAGGUCCCAAGGGUUGGGCUGUUCGCCCAUUAAAGUGGUACGCGAGCUGGGUUCAGAACGUCGUGAGACAGUUCGGUCCCUAUCCGUCGCAGGCGUAGGAAAUUUGAGAAGACCUGUCCUUAGUACGAGAGGACCGGGAUGGACGUACCUCUGGUGUACCAGUUGUUCUGCCAAGGGCAUGGCUGGGUAGCUAUGUACGGAAUGGAUAAGCGCUGAAAGCAUCUAAGCGCGAAGCCAACUUCAAGAUAAGAUUUCCCACCGCAAGGGUAAGACCCCAGAAAGACUAUCUGGUUGAUAGGUCGAAGGUGUAAGUGCAGCAAUGUAUUUAGCUUAUCGAUACUAAUAGGUCGAGGACUUGACCAAAUU